RNAcentral lists this ribosomal RNA (529 nucleotides) under uncultured bacterium. RNAcentral describes it as "bacterial SSU rRNA". It matches the Rfam family "Bacterial small subunit ribosomal RNA", at positions 540 to 1069 of the family's 1533-position model. The record is from RNAcentral.
GUUGUCCGGAUUAUUGGGCGUAAAGCGCGCGCAGGCGGAUUGGUCAGUCUGUCUUAAAAGUUCGGGGCUUAACCCCGUGAUGGGAUGGAAACUGCCAAUCUAGAGUAUCGGAGAGGAAAGUGGAAUUCCUAGUGUAGCGGUGAAAUGCGUAGAUAUUAGGAAGAACACCAGUGGCGAAGGCGACUUUCUGGACGAAAACUGACGCUGAGGCGCGAAAGCCAGGGGAGCGAACGGGAUUAGAUACCCCGGUAGUCCUGGCCGUAAACGAUGGGUACUAGGUGUAGGAGGUAUCGACCCCUUCUGUGCCGGAGUUAACGCAAUAAGUACCCCGCCUGGGGAGUACGACCGCAAGGUUGAAACUCAAAGGAAUUGACGGGGGCCCGCACAAGCGGUGGAGUAUGUGGUUUAAUUCGACGCAACGCGAAGAACCUUACCAGGUCUUGACAUUGAUGGACAGAACUAGAGAUAGUUCCUCUCCUUCGGAAGCCAGAAAACAGGUGGUGCACGGUUGUCGUCAGCUCGUGUCGUG